AUUGAACGCUAGCGGGAUGCUUUACACAUGCAAGUCGAACGGCAGCGCGGACUUCGGUCUGGCGGCGAGUGGCGAACGGGUGAGUAAUGUAUCGGAACGUGCCCAGUAGCGGGGGAUAACUACGCGAAAGCGUAGCUAAUACCGCAUACGCCCUACGGGGGAAAGCAGGGGAUCGUAAGACCUUGCACUAUUGGAGCGGCCGAUAUCGGAGUAGCUAGUUGGUGAGGUAACGGCUCACCAAGGCGACGAUCCGUAGCUGGUUUGAGAGGACGACCAGCCACACUGGGACGGGGACACGGCCCAGACUCCUACGGGAGGGAGCAGUGGGGAAUUUUGGACAAUGGGGGCAACCCUGAUCCAGCCAUCCCGCGUGUGAGAUGAAGGCCUUCGGGUUGUAAGGCACUUUUGGCAGGAAAGAAACGUCGCGGGCUAAUACCCCGUGGAACUGACGGUACCUGCAGAAUAAGCACCGGCUAACUACGUG
This 484-nucleotide ribosomal RNA is filed under the name uncultured bacterium. RNAcentral describes it as "partial 16S ribosomal RNA". It matches the Rfam family "Bacterial small subunit ribosomal RNA", at positions 29 to 507 of the family's 1533-position model. The record is from RNAcentral.